RNAcentral lists this ribosomal RNA (434 nucleotides) under uncultured bacterium. RNAcentral's name for it is "bacterial SSU rRNA". It matches the Rfam family "Bacterial small subunit ribosomal RNA", at positions 29 to 507 of the family's 1533-position model. The record is from RNAcentral.
AACGAACGCUGGCGGCAGGCCUAACACAUGCAAGUCGAGCGAGACCUUCGGGUCUAGCGGCGGACGGGUUAGUAACGCGUGGGAACGUGCCCUUCUCUGCGGAAUAGCCACUGGAAACGGUGAGUAAUACCGCAUACGCCCUUCGGGGGAAAGAUUUAUCGGAGAAGGAUCGGCCCGACGUUAGAUUAGAUAGUUGGUGGGGUAAUGGCCUACCAAGUCUACGAUCUUUAGCUGGUUUUAGAGGAUGAUCAGCAACACUGGGACUGAGACACGGCCCAGACUCCUACGGGAGGCAGCAGUGGGGAAUCUUGGACAAUGGGCGCAAGCCUGAUCCAGCCAUGCCGCGUGAGUGAUGAAGGCCUUAGGGUCGUAAAGCUCUUUCGCCAGAGAUGAUAAUGACAGUAUCUGGUAAAGAAGUCCCGGCUAACUCCGUG